GGUAAAAUCAUUAUAUGCUUUUAGGGAGGUAUUUCGAAUUGUCAGGGUUUCAUACUUAAAAGUUCAAAGGCAAAUCUCGUGCAUCUUUCAUAUAAAUACUGAAUACUUCAACUAGUUAAUUUUAUUACUGCAAUUGACAUACGUUUGAAUAUGAGCAAAAGAAAAACUCUUAUUUUACCAAUGCAACACUACAGGGCCCAGUUGCAUCCUAAAUAUAAAUAAAGAAGACGUGAUAUGAGUGCCAAUGACACAACUGUCCACAACAGACCGGAAAUAAAAUCACUAAUAAAAUAUGUUAUCUAUAUUUAAACG
This 312-nucleotide long non-coding RNA is filed under the name Mytilus galloprovincialis (Mediterranean mussel). Lineage: Eukaryota; Metazoa; Mollusca; Bivalvia; Mytilida; Mytilidae. The record is from RNAcentral.